This 497-nucleotide ribosomal RNA is filed under the name uncultured bacterium. RNAcentral's name for it is "partial 16S ribosomal RNA". It matches the Rfam family "Bacterial small subunit ribosomal RNA", at positions 28 to 507 of the family's 1533-position model. The record is from RNAcentral.
GAUGAACGCUGGCGGCGUGCCUAAUACAUGCCAGUCGAGCGAACAGACGAGGAGCUUGCUCCUUCGACGUUAGCGGCGGACGGGUGAGUAACACGUAGGUAACCUACCUAUAAGACUGGGAUAACUUCGGGAAACCGGAGCUAAUACCGGAUAAUAUUUCGAACCGCAUGGUUCGAUAGUGAAAGAUGGCUUUGCUAUCACUUAUAGAUGGACCUGCGCCGUAUUAGCUAGUUGGUAAGGUAACGGCUUACCAAGGCAACGAUACGUAGCCGACCUGAGAGGGUGAUCGGCCACACUGGAACUGAGACACGGCCCAGACUCCUACGGGAGGCAGCAGUAGGGAAUCUUCCGCAAUGGGCGAAAGCCUGACGGAGCAACGCCGCGUGAGUGAUGAAGGUCUUCGGAUCGUAAAACUCUGUUAUUAGGGAAGAACAAACGUGUAAGUAACUGUGCACGUCUUGACGGUACCUAAUCAGAAAGCCACGGCUAACUACGUG